UACAGGGGGGGCAAGCGUUGUUCGGAAUUACUGGGCGUAAAGGGCCAGUAGGCGGCCAACUAAGUCCGACGUGAAAUCCCCAGGCUUAACCUGGGAACUGCGUCGGAUACUGGAUGGCUUGAAUUCGGGAGAGGGAUGCAGAAUUCCAGGUGUAGCGGUGAAAUGCGUAGAUAUCUGGAGGAAUACCGAUGGCGAAGGCAGCUCACUGGGACGGUACUGACGCUGAGACGCGAAAGCGUGGGGAGCAAACAGG
Molecule: ribosomal RNA, 253 nt
Filed under: uncultured bacterium
Lineage: Bacteria
Description: partial 16S ribosomal RNA
Rfam family: Bacterial small subunit ribosomal RNA
Source: RNAcentral